AUGCCGCCUCUACCUCUCCCUCAGCCGCAGCCGCCUCCUACUAUUCCUCCUCAGUGGGCGAGGAAGGUUCAUGCGCACAACAUCUGCAGAGAGCUGCGGUGGCCGGCAGUGGAGGAGGAGGAGGAGGAGCCAACGACAGAUCGGCGUGUCACGAGAGCAGACACGGCGGCCGUCACGGGCAGAGCUGAGCGAAGAUGGCGCGGCGGCUGGGCGGUUGUCCGAACUAGAUCCCGCCAUCACCUCCAGCCGCCGCCUCGUUCACCCGUGUCCAUCUCGGCGAGACCAAGGGCGCGCCUCAUGUCCACCGCUCUGCUACUUCCGCCCUACGCUUUGCUCCCUCCGUUGUCGUCCUCGCUUCCGACCGCAAGAACCUCUGGGAUGUUGUUGUCCAGCACUGCCUCUUCCGACGUCAUGGCCACCAUGGUGACUAAUUUUGUGUUCCUGGAUUCGAGUAAGAAGCUGGUGACCUGCUCCAAGGAAAAGAUUAUCUGGGUCUGGGACCUCGACACACAACACUGCCUUCAAACUGUAGGUGGCCAUCACAACAAGAUAUGGUCGAUGGAUGUUGAUUCUAGCGAGAAGUUUGUGGUGUCUAGCUUGGCCAAUCAAGAGCUGCGGGUGUUCAAAAUCAAGAAAUUAGCUAAAGAGGGUCAAGAUUGGAACAAAUGGGAUGCACUUCUUCCUAAAGCACCACAGGAUAUGAGCUUUUGUUGUGGAUGA
Molecule: ribosomal RNA, 720 nt
Filed under: Triticum aestivum (bread wheat)
Lineage: Eukaryota; Viridiplantae; Streptophyta; Magnoliopsida; Poales; Poaceae
Description: partial small subunit ribosomal RNA
Source: RNAcentral